UACGAAGGGUGCUAGCGUUGUUCGGAAUCACUGGGCGUAAAGCGCGCGUAGGCGGUUAAUCAAGUCAGGGGUGAAAUCCUGGGGCUCAACCUCAGAAUUGCCUUUGAAACUGGUUGACUGGAGUAUUGGAGGGGAGUGUGGAAUUCCUAAUGUAGCAGUGAAAUGCGUAGAUAUUAGGAGGAACACCGGUGGCGAAGGCGGGUCUCUGGACAGUUCCUGACGCUGAGGCACGAAGGUCAGGGGAGCAAACGGG
RNAcentral lists this ribosomal RNA (253 nucleotides) under uncultured bacterium. RNAcentral's name for it is "partial 16S ribosomal RNA". It matches the Rfam family "Bacterial small subunit ribosomal RNA", at positions 524 to 776 of the family's 1533-position model. The record is from RNAcentral.